RNAcentral lists this ribosomal RNA (2104 nucleotides) under metagenome. RNAcentral describes it as "bacterial LSU rRNA". It matches the Rfam family "Bacterial large subunit ribosomal RNA", at positions 108 to 2262 of the family's 2925-position model. The record is from RNAcentral.
AGAUUUCCGAAUGGGGAAACCCACUCCGCAAGGAGUAACUCUGACUGAAUACAUAGGUCAUUGUGGCGAACCGGGUGAACUGAAACAUCUCAGUAGCUCGAGGAAAAGACAUCAACCGAGAUUCCGAAAGUAGUGGCGAGCGAAAUCGGAACAGCCUGUGCUCUUUAGCAGUCGACUUAUUGGAACGGAAUGGAAAGUCCGGCCAUAGCGGGUGAUAGCCCCGUACAGGAAAUGACUUCUGUGGAACUAAGUGCACGACAAGUAGGGCGGGACACGUGUAAUCCUGUCUGAAUAUGGGGGGACCAUCCUCCAAGGCUAAAUACUCGUAAUCGACCGAUAGUGAACAAGUACCGUGAGGGAAAGGCGAAAAGAACCCCGGGAGGGGAGUGAAAUAGAUCCUGAAACCGCAUGCAUACAAAAAGUAGGAGCCGCAAGGUGACUGCGUACCUUUUGUAUAAUGGGUCAGCGACUUACAUUCAGUGGCAAGCUUAACCGAGUAGGGGAGGCGUAGGGAAACCGAGUCCGAACAGGGCGUUCAAGUCGCUGGGUGUAGACCCGAAACCAGGUGAUCUAUCCAUGGCCAGGAUGAAGGUGCGGUAACACGCACUGGAGGUCCGAACCGACUAGUGUUGCAAAACUAGCGGAUGAGCUGUGGAUAGGGGUGAAAGGCUAAACAAACCUGGAGAUAGCUGGUUCUCUCCGAAAACUAUUUAGGUAGUGCCUCAAGUAUUACCAUCGGGGGUAGAGCACUGUUAUGGCUAGGGGGUCAUGGCGACUUACCAAACCAUUGCAAACUCCGAAUACCGAUGAGUACAGCUUGGGAGACAGUGCACCGGGUGCUAACGUCCGGACACAAGAGGGAAACAACCCAGACCGCCAGCUAAGGUCCCCAAAAUUGGCUAAGUGGGAAACGAAGUGGGAAGGCUAAAACAGUCAGGAUGUUGGCUUAGAAGCAGCCAUCAUUUAAAGAAAGCGUAAUAGCUCACUGAUCGAGUCGUCCUGCGCGGAAGAUGUAACGGGGCUAAGCCAGUUACCGAAGCUGCGGAUUUGCAAUUUAUUGCAAGUGGUAGGAGAGCGUUCUGUACGCCUGUGAAGGUGGAUCGUGAGGUCUGCUGGAGGUAUCAGAAGUGCGAAUGCUGACAUGAGUAGCGUUAAAGAGGGUGAAAAGCCCUCUCGCCGAAAGCGCAAGGUUUCCUACGCAACGUUCAUCGGCGUAGGGUGAGUCGGCCCCUAAGGCGAGGCAGAGAUGCGUAGCUGAUGGGAAACAGGUCAAUAUUCCUGUACCGAUCUAUAGUGCGAUGUGGGGACGGAGAAGGUUAACUCAGCCGGGUGUUGGAUGUCCCGGUUCAAGCCUGUAGUCAUGCCUGGUAGGCAAAUCCGCCGGGCUUAGAUGAGGGGUGAUAACGAGUCUGCUUGCAGACGAAGUGAGUGAUACCCUGCUUCCAGGAAAAGCCACUAAGCUUCAGCUAUAGACGACCGUACCGCAAACCGACACUGGUGCGCGAGAUGAGUAUUCUAAGGCGCUUGAGAGAACUCUGGAGAAGGAACUCGGCAAAUUGACACCGUAACUUCGGAAGAAGGUGUGCCUUUAGUAGGUGAAGUCCCUCGCGGAUGGAGCCCAAUGAGGUUGCAAAGAAUCGGUGGCUGCGACUGUUUAAUAAAAACACAGCACUCUGCAAAGACGAAAGUCGACGUAUAGGGUGUGACGCCUGCCCGGUGCUGGAAGAUUAAAUGAUGGGGUGCAAGCUCUUGAUUGAAGUCCCAGUAAACGGCGGCCGUAACUAUAACGGUCCUAAGGUAGCGAAAUUCCUUGUCGGGUAAGUUCCGACCUGCACGAAUGGCGUAACGAUGGCCACACUGUCUCCUCCAGAGACUCAGCGAAGUUGAAAUGUUUGUGAUGAUGCAAUCUCCCCGCGGAAAGACGGAAAGACCCCAUGAACCUUUACUGUAGCUUUACAUUGGACUUUGAACAGAUCUGUGUAGGAUAGGUGGGAGGCUUUGAAGUAGGGACGCUAGUUCUUAUGGAGCCAACGUUGAAAUACCACCCUGGUGUGUUUGAGGUUCUAACCUUGGUCCGUGAUCCGGAUUGGGGACAGUGUAUGGU